AUCUUACUCCCUCCGUCCGGAAUUACUUGUCGCAUAAAUGGAUAAAAAUAUAUGUAUCUAUAACUAAAAUAUGUCUAGAUACAUCCAUUUCUCCGACAACUAUUUUCGGACGGAGGGAGUACUAA
Triticum aestivum (bread wheat) is the source of this 125-nucleotide non-coding RNA. The record is from Rfam. NCBI's taxonomy places the organism in Eukaryota, Viridiplantae, Streptophyta, Magnoliopsida, Poales, Poaceae.